RNAcentral lists this ribosomal RNA (253 nucleotides) under uncultured bacterium. RNAcentral's name for it is "partial 16S ribosomal RNA". It matches the Rfam family "Bacterial small subunit ribosomal RNA", at positions 524 to 776 of the family's 1533-position model. The record is from RNAcentral.
UACGUAGGGUCCGAGCGUUGUCCGGAAUUAUUGGGCGUAAAGAGCUCGUAGGCGGCUUGUCGCGUCGAAUGUGAAAACUCGGGGCUCAACUCCGAGCUUGCAUUCGAUACGGGCAGGCUCGAGUUCGGUAGGGGAGACUGGAAUUCCUGGUGUAGCGGUGAAAUGCGCAGAUAUCAGGAGGAACACCGGUGGCGAAGGCGGGUCUCUGGGCCGAUACUGACGCUGAGGAGCGAAAGCGUGGGGAGCGAACAGG